ACGCUCGACACCUACGGGAGCAGCAGUGGGGAAUAUUGGGCAAUGGGCGCAAGCCUGACCCAGCAACGCCGCGUGAAGGAAGAAGGCCCUCGGGUUGUAAACUUCUUUUGACAGGGACGAAACAAAUGACGGUACCUGUCGAAUAAGCCACGGCUAACUACGUGUCAGCAGCCGCGGUAAUCUGAGCGGGCUGGCAAGGC
RNAcentral lists this ribosomal RNA (200 nucleotides) under uncultured bacterium. RNAcentral's name for it is "partial 16S ribosomal RNA". It matches the Rfam family "Bacterial small subunit ribosomal RNA", at positions 328 to 539 of the family's 1533-position model. The record is from RNAcentral.